AUAAAGAUCAAGCCGGGUUAGAGGGGGAAAGAUAUAUCUGGGACAAAGGACUACUAUAUCGGCACGCAGAGAAGGUAGUGUCCGGGUCAAUACCGUUGCCCAUUAAACAGCUAAUAGUGCCUCGAAAGUAUAGGUUAGAGCUGUUACGCAUAGCCCAUGAUAUCCCUCUGUCUGGACACCUAGGCAUCAGUCGGACCAAGCACAGGCUGACC
This is a non-coding RNA of Pelobates cultripes (western spadefoot toad), 212 nucleotides long. NCBI's taxonomy places the organism in Eukaryota, Metazoa, Chordata, Amphibia, Anura, Pelobatidae. The record is from the annotation of a GenBank genome assembly.